This 4325-nucleotide long non-coding RNA is filed under the name Brassica napus (rape). Its description in RNAcentral is "long non-coding RNA (BNAP_LNC023793)". Lineage: Eukaryota; Viridiplantae; Streptophyta; Magnoliopsida; Brassicales; Brassicaceae. The record is from RNAcentral.
AGAGUCACUCUCAGAGGCUGAAUACAUCAAGCUCAUUGCAAUGGACCAUCACCAUAACCAUCGUUCUCAGAUGGGUUCGAGCCGUUGGAACGCACCGUUGUACAAUGAAGACAAUGACAAGAUCCUAGAAGUCGACACUUGGAAGCCUCACUUCCCUUCUUAUCAUAAGGAGUCACCAAGGAAAAGAGGAUCGCUUGUGGUACCGACAAGUGUGGAGAACAGUCCACAAGUAAGGUCUAGACCAGGAAGCAGCAGCGGUGGCGGUUCAAGGAGAAGAACGCCGUUUACGCCAACGAGAAGCGAGUACGAGUACUACUCUGGGUAUCACCCUAACUACAUGGCUAACACUGAGUCAUACAGAGCAAAAGUCCGGUCACAAAGUGCACCUAGACAGAGGCUUCGAGAGUUCUCUUCAGAGAGUGGCUACAAAAGGUCAGUUCAGGGGCAGUAUUACUACUACACAGCGGCUGCUGAGCGAUCGUUUGAUCAGCGUUCGGAUUAUGGAGGGGUUUAUUUCUGAUCAGUUAGGUCGAAACCAAAGUGAGUUCUUCAUUUCCCAAUGCUGAUCCUGUUUUGUUUUAAUAUAGUUGAAAAGAUUAUAAGAAAAACUGAGUGGAAUGUGUGUAAAGUAGAUUUUGAGAUACAAGUGUAGACAGUGAUCAAUCACUGUUGUGUAUUUUCUUUUGACUAGAUGCUACGGUACAGAUCUCGUACCAACAGGGGUCCACAUUUGUCUGAUUAAAAAAAAUACUUCAAUAAUUUGCAGUGAUGUCAAGUCACAACUUAAGAGUUAUGAGUUGACUGAUAUAAACAAUUUAUUUUUCCCGGUAAAAGAAAGAAUAGUCACACAAACACACACAACCUCCUGAAUAGCAUCAAACGCUAUCACAACUCCAUCGUGAAGUGGGUAUACAGCUCAGGUAACGACACCAGUGGCAGUGAUCAUUCCCAUCUUCUCCUUUGAAUAGCAGCACCAGUGCCACCACGAACCUGCCAAAAAAUUCCCCAAAAGACAUUCGCAUAAUUACGUUACAUUAGAGGGAUUUAACAUUGAAAUGACCAAGUGAUCGAUUAAGCUGUACCCGGCGAUCAAUAGAGCUAGAGACAGGAGCCACAGUAUGUACUGGUAAGGCUUGUACUUGGAUGUGAGACGUCUGCCUUGUGGCAUAUGCGCUGUCUUUCUAACCACUUGAUCUGGGGACGAGUCAUGAGAAGGAAACCGAGGAAAAAACCAGUUAAGAAUCCACCGACAUGAGCAAAGUUAUCAACGUAAGGUAGACUCCCAAUGCCCAGGUUUAUCACAAUGACAACACAAAAGCGUCAAGAAUGCCGCAAUCUAACUUGUCCACCACACACAAAAGAAACAAAAAAAAAAGGUCUCACUAUACCUAGAGGGUCAAGAAGUAUCAGUUUAUAGAGAGCUCUUAUGAUUGAGAGAUAAACCUUGUUAGAGUAUAUGGUCCAGUUGGUGAGAAGUUCAGAAAGCAUAGAGCCAAGAAGGCCAAAAAGGGCACCAGAAGCUCCAACAGAGAUAUCGUUUCUGAUAAACAACGAAGACAGUAUGCUUCCUCCCAUUCCUGACAUUAUGUAUAUGACCCCAAUCCUAACUCCCAAAUGUUCCAAGACCUGUAAUUAAACUCGGAGAAUCGGCUCCUUUGACCAAAACUUGCUCUAGUUAAAUGGGUUGUUGACAAAAAAAAUAAAAAACAAAGCAUACCGCUCUGCAGAGAGUGGCUACAAAAGGUCAGUUCAGGGGCAGUAUUACUACUACACAGCGGCUGCUGAGCGAUCGUUUGAUCAGCGUUCGGAUUAUGGAGGGGUUUAUUUCUGAUCAGUUAGGUCGAAACCAAAGUGAGUUCUUCAUUUCCCAAUGCUGAUCCUGUUUUGUUUUAAUAUAGUUGAAAAGAUUAUAAGAAAAACUGAGUGGAAUGUGUGUAAAGUAGAUUUUGAGAUACAAGUGUAGACAGUGAUCAAUCACUGUUGUGUAUUUUCUUUUGACUAGAUGCUACGGUACAGAUCUCGUACCAACAGGGGUCCACAUUUGUCUGAUUAAAAAAAAUACUUCAAUAAUUUGCAGUGAUGUCAAGUCACAACUUAAGAGUUAUGAGUUGACUGAUAUAAACAAUUUAUUUUUCCCGGUAAAAGAAAGAAUAGUCACACAAACACACACAACCUCCUGAAUAGCAUCAAACGCUAUCACAACUCCAUCGUGAAGUGGGUAUACAGCUCAGGUAACGACACCAGUGGCAGUGAUCAUUCCCAUCUUCUCCUUUGAAUAGCAGCACCAGUGCCACCACGAACCUGCCAAAAAAUUCCCCAAAAGACAUUCGCAUAAUUACGUUACAUUAGAGGGAUUUAACAUUGAAAUGACCAAGUGAUCGAUUAAGCUGUACCCGGCGAUCAAUAGAGCUAGAGACAGGAGCCACAGUAUGUACUGGUAAGGCUUGUACUUGGAUGUGAGACGUCUGCCUUGUGGCAUAUGCGCUGUCUUUCUAACCACUUGAUCUGGGGACGAGUCCUAAUCUCUCUAGAUAACUAUAACUCAAUAGUUUUAGGAAACUUGCUUCUCAAGCUAUUUCAAGUUUAUCCAACAUUCUCCCUCCUAAGCUUGAAACCUUCUUGUGACAACUCUUGCAUUCCAAUGAGGUCUCUCAUUUCUUUGAACUUGAUUCGUCCCAACGCUUUUGUUAGUAUGUCCGCCUUUUGUUCGUUACCCGGUACAUGCUCAACUUCUAUGAGCUCUCUCUCAACACAUUCUCUUAUAAAAUGAUACCUAGAGUGUAUGUGCUUACUUCUUCCAUGAAAGACUGGAUUUUUUGUCAAAGCGAUUGCAGACUGAUUGUCUAUCCUGAUUGUGACCUUCUCUCGAGCUUGGCCGGUUACUUCACUCAAAAGAUCACGCAGCCAGAUCGCCUGUCUCGCAGCCUCUGUACCCGCCAUGAACUCAGCCUCACAGCUUGAUAGAGCGACAGUGUCUUGCUUUUGCGAGCACCACGUUAUGGGACUCUUUCCUAAGUAAAAGAUGUGUCCAGUUGUGCUUCUCCCAUCAUCUGGAUCAACAUUAUAGCUGCUGUCACUAUAACCAAUCAGCCUUGGUACCUUCUGUGAUCGCUCGAACAAUAAACCGUAACUUGUGCUUCCUUGUAGAUAUCGUAGGCAUUGUUUUAAUGCAACGCCGUGUGACACUCUCGGGCUAUGCAUAUAGCGACUCAACACUCCAACGCAGAAGGAUAAGUCAGGUCUCGUGUGGAGUAGAUACCUUAAGCAGCCGAUGUUCCUUCUGUAGUUUGUCGCAUCGAUCUCCUGCUCUUCCUCCGCUUUCGAAGGUUAAGGCCGAGCUCCAUGGGUGUUUGAGUCAAGUUGCACUUUUCCAUUCCUGCAUUCUCGAGUAUCUUCUUAGCAUAUUGAUUCUGAUUAAGUGUGAUCCCUCGAUCAUCUUGAACCACUUCUAUACCAAGAUAGUAUGUUAAUCUCCCAAGAUCACUCAUAUCAAAUUUGCUUGCCAUGUUCUUCUUGAACUCGUUUAUCAGCUUCUUGCUUGUUCCAGUCACGAACAAGUCAUCCACAUAGACAGCUACAACAAGAAGCUCGCCUUUUAUAGUCUUUCGAUAUACUGAAGGUUCUUUAGUACACUUACUGAACUCAAGCUCCAUGAGUAUCUGGUUAAGUUUGUUGUUCCAAGCUCUCGGCGCUUGCCUUAAUCCAUACAACGCUUUGUUGAGCCUGUAUACCUUCUUCUCAUAUCCUUUUCUUUCAAAGCCUUCUGGUUGACUCACAUAUACGGUCUCUUUCAGUUCUCCAUGCAAGAAGGCAGUUUUAACGUCGAGAUGAUGGAUCUCCCAUCCUUUAUUUGCAGCCAAACUAAUGAGUAGUCUUAUCGUCUCAAGUCUUGCGACUGGCGCGAAUACCUCCUCGAAGUCGACUCCAUAUUGUUGCACAUAGCCCUUUGCAACCAAUCUGGCUUUGAACUUGUUGAUGCUUCCAUCGGCAUUGCACUUGAUUUUAAAAACCCAUUUUAAUCCUAUAGCUUUUGCGUCACUCUCAGAGGCUGAAUACAUCAAGCUCAUUGCAAUGGACCAUCACCAUAACCAUCGUUAUCAGAUGGGUUCGAGCCGUUGGAACGCACCGUUGUACAAUGAAGACAAUGACAAGAUCCUAGAAGUGGAUACUUGGAAGCCUCACUUCCCUUCCUACCAUAAGGAGUCCCCAAGGAAAAGAGGAUCACUUAUGGUCCCGACAGGUAUGGAGAACAGUCCACAAGCAAGGUCUAGACCAGGAAGCAGCAGCGGUGGCGGUUCAAGGAGAAGAACGCCGUUUACGCCAAC